Molecule: long non-coding RNA, 748 nt
Organism: Myxocyprinus asiaticus (Chinese sucker)
Lineage: Eukaryota; Metazoa; Chordata; Actinopteri; Cypriniformes; Catostomidae
Exons: 3
Source: RefSeq, a predicted model, not a curated record
AGGCGUGCACUUGUCUUGAUGAGGAGAUUUAUUAGAAUAUUGAAAUGGACAUUUAAAAAAAGUAGUAGUAAAACAGCCUCAGUCAACAUCAGCACUUCAACAGAAAGAUGCAUUCUGCUAUCUUCUUAAGAACUUUAUCAACAUGUGAAUCUCCAUCAUUCCAUUCAGCAGCAAGACAAGUUGUGUAGAAACCUUUGGAAUCCUAUGUGAAGAAAAGCAUUCAGAGGAUCAUUAGAGACUCCAGCCACCCGAGCCAUGGGCUGUUCUCACUGCUACCAUCAGGUAGGCGGUAUCGCAGCAUCAGGACCUGCACCAGAUGACUCCAUGAUAGCUUCUUCCCCCAAGCAAUCAGACUUCUGAACUCUUGAUCUCCCACGAUCAAUACAUCAGCACUGCACUUUAUUACCCUUACUCUUAUAUCUCACACCGGACUGUCAUAAAUUAUAUUAUUAUUAUAUUAUAUUCUCUCUUAACAACUGACUAUCAACCGACAGCCUGAAUGUCAAUACAGUACAAUACUGCACAUUAUAUAUAUACUUUUUUUUAUAUAUUUUUAUUUUUUAUUUUUAUUGAAUAAUGUGUAUCUAUAUUGUGUGUAUUGUAUACUGUACAGUGUAUGUUAUUAUUUGUAUAUUGUUGAGUGUAAUUAUGUGUACAUCAGAUGUUUAAAUUGUGUUGUGUUAAUUUGAUGUUAUUGUAAAUUGGUACUGUCUCAUCACUGUCACGACUGCUAUGUUGAUCGGAACUG